GGAGAAAGUAACAUGGUGGCCGCGUCGUCCCCAGACAGGAGCGGCGGCGGGUCCGGUGGCUCCUGAGGAGGCGGCGGGCGCGGAGAAAAGCUCCAGGCCGGGAGCGCCGCGACCCUUGGAGCGGACGAGGGGAACCCGGUGGCGGCUGUCGGCGGGGCGAGCCGGCGGCAGGAAGUACUGACAUAACCAUGAUAGAAGACAAAGGUCCACGAGUGGCUGACUAUUUUGUAGUGGCAGGGCUCACUGAUACAGAUACUGCAACCCUCCUGGACCAAGAAAUAAGCCGACAUGAAACAAAGUCAACUGGUCCAAAGGCUCCAAUUACUGAUAUUGCUGUGAUAAUUAAAUCAGCUGGUGAAACUGUCCCAGAGGGAUACACCUGUGUUGAAGCCACCCCUACAGCCCUUCAAGCCAACUUAAACUAUGGAAGUCUAAAGAGUCCUGAACUUUUUCUUUGCUACAAGAGAGGCCGGGACAAACCACCUCUUACUGACAUCGGAGUUCUAUAUGAAGGGAAGGAACGCAUCAUUUCAGGCUGCGAGGUGAUUCAAGCUACUCCUUAUGGUCGUUGCGCUAAUGUUAACAACAGUUCAGCUUCUUCUCAGCGGAUCUUUAUCACAUAUCGAAGGGCUCCUCUAGUACGACCUCAAAAUUCAUUGGCAGUGACUGAUAUCUGUGUUAUUGUUACCAGCAAAGGAGAAACUCCUCCUCAUACAUUCUGCAAAGUGGAUAAGAAUUUAAAUUGUGGUAUGUGGGGUUCCAGUGUGUACCUUUGUUACAAGAAGUCUGUGCCAGCUUCUAACUCUUUAGCAUAUAAAGCUGGCUUAAUUUUCAGAUAUCCUCAAGAGAACUAUGAGUCAUUCCCACUAUCAGAAUCUGUACCUCUCUUCUGCCUUCCUAUGGGAGCUACUAUUGAGUGCUGGGACCCACAAACCAAAUAUCCACUACCAGUGUUCUCAACAUUUGUACUGACCUGCUCUUCUGCAGAAAAGGUUUAUGGUGCUGCUAUUCAGUUUUAUGAGCCUUAUCCCCGGGAGCUGCUAACAGAAAAACAGCAAUUGCAGCUGGGUCUCCUGACAGCUGUAGAGAGGAAAGUGGUUACUUCCAAGUCCAUCAAUUCCAACAAAUGCAUCUGCCUUCUCUCACACUGGCCUUUCUUUGAAGCAUUUCGAAAAUUUCUUAUGUUCAUCUACAAACUCUCUGUCUCUGGACCUCAUCCUCUUCCCAUUGAAAAGCACAUAUCCCAUUUUAUGCACAAUAUACCUUUCCCUUCACCACAAAGGCCAAGAAUUCUGGUGCAGCUUUCUGCCCAUGAUGCAUUAAUAUUGUCUCAGCCAGUUUCUACACCAUUGCCAUUGAGUGGAGCAAACUUUAGCACUCUGCUCAUGAAUCUUGGACCGGAAAACUGUGCCACUCUGUUGCUCUUUGUAUUACUAGAAGGCAAGAUCCUCCUCCAUUCUCUUAGACCAGCUGUGUUGACAGGAGUUGCUGAAGCUGUAGUAGCUAUGAUAUUUCCAUUUCAGUGGCAAUGUCCAUAUAUCCCUCUCUGUCCUUUGUCUCUGGCCACCGUACUCAGUGCACCUGUUCCAUUUAUUGUUGGAGUUGAUUCACGAUACUUUGAUCUGUAUGAUCCACCACAGGAUAUUGUGUGCAUUGACUUAGACACAAACAUGGUGUACAUAUCAGAUGAUAAGAAGAGCACCAACUGGAAGCAGUUUCCUAAGAAGCCUUGUAAAAGUUUGCUCAGCACCUUAAAGAAACUGCACCCACAGCUGGCAGCAGUUCACAGGAAAACUCAAGAAGGCUCUGCAGUGGAGAUGACUCCUAUUGAGGCAGAUUUUUCCUGGCAGAAGAAGAUGAUAGAACUUGAGAUGGAGAUCCAGGAAGCUUUUCUCCGUUUCAUGGCGUCUAUUUUAAAGGGUUACAGAACAUUCCUCAAGCCAAUCACGCAGGCACCUUCAAAUAAAGCAACUGCUGCUGAUUCCUUGUUUGAUCAUCAAGGAUUUUUAAAAAGCAGAGACCGUGCCUAUACAAAGUUCUACACACAUCUCACCAAAACACAGAUAUUCAGCCGCUUUAUUGAAGAGUGCAGUUUUGUGAGUGACAAGGAUACUGGCUUGGCAUUUUUUGAUGACUGCAUAGAAAAGCUUUUUCCAGAUAAAGGAACAGAAAAAGGAGAAAAGGUUGAUGUAGAUUCUGUUGAAGAUGCACUGUUGAUUGAGCUUGAUGAGUCACAAAAAAGUGAACACACAGUGUUCAUAAUGCCACCAGAACCUCCCGCUGAUGACGGACAGGAGCGAGUGCCAAAAUACAGCUAUAAAAACUUCCCACGACUAGAUUUCAAGCUCUUUGACAGGCCACAGGAGCUCAAGCUCUCCUUCAGCAGACACCCAGCUGGAAGCAGCAUUUCAAAUAGUCCAGCACUCAUGGCAAAGAGGACAAAACAGGAGAUAAAAACAGCUCAUAAAUUAGCCAAGAAGUAUUAUGUAAGCCCCCCACAAUGGGCUAAGUGUCUCUUCAGUCAUAGUUACAGCCUAUGGUUUAUUUGUCUGCCAGCCUACAUCAGAGUUGCACAUCCCAAGGUCAAAGCACUGCAACAGGCAUACGAUGUUCUAAUUAAAAUGAGGAAAACUGAUGUGGAACCACUAGAUGAGGUCUGCUACAGAGUUGUAAUGCAGCUCUGUGGACUGUGGGGUCAGCCUGUUCAGGCCGUGAGAGUCCUCUUUGAAAUGAAAAAUGCUGGAAUACAGCCAAAUGCCAUCACCUAUGGUUAUUACAAUAAGGCGGUAUUAGAGUCUCCUUGGCCUAGCAGUAACCGCAGUGGCAUAUUCCUGUGGACAAAGGUACGAAAUGUAGUUCGUGGCACAGCACAAUUUAGGCAGUGCUUAAAGAAAUCGACGCAGAGCCUACAAGUACCUGUGAUAUCAGCUCUGCGGAGUACCACGGGUGGAAGUGAUGGGGACAUGGUGAGCCAUGGUAGCGUGGAUAGUUCUAAUGAUGCUAACAGUGGGGAGCACACUGUCUUCGUCAGUGACUUAGUCAGGCUUGAUUCCAUUGAUAAUCACUCUAGCACAGGUGGUCAGUCAGACCAGGGCUACGGGUCAAAGGAUGAACUUUUAAGAGAUGAUGGAGAUAGUCUUCAUGCAACUGAAACACAAGUAGAGAAAGAUAUUUCUUCUAAAGCUGAAGACCUAAUAGGAGAGGUUUGUACUGAGAAAUCUGAUGAAAAGCAACAGCUGAAUAUAGAAACUCAUAGUCCAACAGAUGCACCUUCUUGGGGUAACAGCAUUGUGAAAGUUCCAUCUGGCAUUUUUGAUAGCAGUGGAAGGAAAAGCAGUGGUGAAACAGGUUCCAGCCCACUGUUCAUAACUCAGGAUUCAGCUGAAGAUGUAGUCUUUGGUGAUGUUUCUCCUAAGAAAACAAGUGAAAAAGGACAGAAGAGGCAGAAACUGUUUUCAGAGAGAAGCUGCAGUUUCAGCAGUGAAAGCAGAGCAGGAAUGCUGCUGAAAAAAGGCAGCUUGGACUUGCAUUCUAAAGAAAUAGCAAUAAUGAUGGGAGCAGAUGCCAAGAUUCUAACAGCAGCUUUAUCUGGGGCCAAAACUUCACCCUGUCAUUUGAAUAAAUCCCACAGCUUUGAAAGUAUUGUUGACCAGCAGGUUUCUGGCGUAAGUGGCACUUGGAGUUGUGUGACUGAGAGUGAUUGGGAAUCGGAGCAUAGGUCUUCACCGAUGCUGGAAGAACCUGGGGAAGGGCAGGAACAUCUUGAGAAUGGAAGAGAUGAAAACAUGGCCACAGUGGAAGACAUGAACCUUGAACAGUCAACUGAGUCAAAAAACCAGAAACCAGAAUCCAAAGAUGCAACUACUAAAAGGAAUAGCUUUUAUGGAGUGGUUAAGCCUAUUGAAAGGGAAGAUGUUGAAGUAGGCUUGGACCCUUUAUCUUUGCUGGCUACUGACAGCAUGCAACCAAGGCAUCCAGAACCUGAGGAAAAGUUGGUGUCACCAGUUGCAGCACGUAAUUUGGCAGAUGAAAUAGAGAGCUAUAUGAAUCUGAAGAACCCAUUGGGUAGUAAGUUUCCCAGCAUGGAACUGCACAAGCCAGAGAGGGAAACAGAAGCUUCUGGUACACUUGGUCACUCCCAAGAAAGGAGGUCAAGCCUGCCUUUGGAUCCCGUCCUGCCAUCCCCCAAGUCUUACGAAAAUCGGAGAAGUCCAUCUGUCUCCAGAUCCAAAACAUUCACUGGACGACCAAAGCAACAAACCUAUCCACGAGUUCAAAAGGAGCGGUCUUCAUCUUUGACAGGACUGGGUCGUUCUUCUCCACAUGGCUCGUUAGGAUCUGUUGUAACAACUUUAUCCAAUCUGAAGUUAGACAAUAUACUGUCUGGACCAAAAAUGGAUGUUCUGAAAUCAGGCAUGAAACAGGCUGCCAAUGUGGCCAGUAAGAUGUGGGGAGUUGUAACUUCAGCAUAUAGUUAUUCAGAUGAUGAGGAAGAAAACAAUCGAGCCGACUUUAACUUCCCUGCUGGUUUUGAAGAUAAUAUUUUAGGAGAUAAUCUGUCAUCAAGAACUGGUGUCCCGGGUCUAAUUACGAAUGAGCUUGCACAAAGCACUACUAGUCUAGGCAGUAGCAGUAGCAGUGGAGAUGCAGGAAGACAACAUUACAGUGGAGGUGAAGUUUCAUUCCCAAGAAGUAUGAAAGUUCUAGAUUCUGAGAAGUCAGAGCACAGCUCUUCACAUAAUACUAGUUUAUCCAGCAUUUUCCAGAACUAUGCAAUGGAGGUAUUGAUGUCAAGCUGCUCUCAAUGUAGAACUUGUGAUGCUUUGGUUUAUGAUGAAGAAAUUAUGGCUGGAUGGACAGCAGAUGAUUCAAACUUGAACACCAUCUGUCCUUUCUGUAAAAGUACCUUCCUACCUUUACUUAAUGUUGAAUUUAAAGACCUACGUGGCUCUGCAAGCUUUUUUCUGAAGCAAAGUACCUCAGGAGAUAGUUUACAGAGUGGUACCCUUCCAUUAACCAUGGAUCCCCUGGAGCAGAAACUGUCAUCCAGCCCAGCUGUUGCUGACUUGAUCAGUUUUUCAGAUCACGCACAGUCCAGCCACACCAUAGCUGAAGAAACUAGCUCUGCAGCUGAGCAGAGUGAUGUGGCAGAAGAUCAGAGUAAAGAUCCCAGAACAAUGAAGACAUCUGCCAAUAAUCCACCAAAAAGGGGAGUGUCCUUGACUCGGAGCCACAGUGUUGGAGGUCCACUGCAAAACAUUGAUCUUUCCCAGAGACCAUCUCAUGGCAUUUCAACAGUUAGUCUUCCAAAUAGUUUGCAAGAAGUUGUGGAUCCUUUAAGAAAAAGACCUAACCCUCUUGCUGUAUCUGUGCCCUACUUGAGUCCUUUGGUACUGCGUAAGGAGCUUGAAUCGCUGUUGGAAAAUGAGGGAGAGCAAGUAAUUCAUACACCCAAAUUCAUCAAUCAGCACCCCAUAAUUUUCUGGAACCUAGUUUGGUAUUUCCGACGGUUGGAUCUACCUAGCAACUUACCUGGACUCAUUCUAACAUCUGAACACUGUAAUGACGGGGUGCAGCUUCCUUUGACAUCUCUUGCUCAAGACAGCAAGCUAGUCUACAUCCAUCUUCUGUGGGACAAUAUCAACCUCCACCAAGAGCCAGGGGAGCCCCUAUACAUAUCUUGGAGGAAUCUCAAUUCUUCUGAAAAGACACCCGCCACAGUGGCAGAAGAUCAGCAGGCAACAAAGACUUUGUUGGAGAACAUCAAACUAAGUAUUCAACACAAUAAUGUUGUUAAACCAAUCAACCUCCUUCUACAGAAAGUUAAGCCAGAUGUGAAACGGCAGAGGUAAACGGGAGUUUUUACAGAGAAAUUCUUUUCCUGUCACUGGUGUCCCUUGGAAGAGAGAACAUUGACAUUGAGGUCUUUGAUAGUGAAUACAGGCUUGCACAUAAAAAUCUACCAAAGGAUGUUCUUGAAAAGAUGCAAAAGAUAGAUGCUCCACCAAGCAGCAGGGUUGAGUGCUGUCGCAAGUGCUUUGGAGCACCUUUAAUAUAAAAAUGAGAAAGACACACACUAAACUUCAGUGAGACAAAAGCAGAGGUGAACAAACCAGGAGCAUCAUGAGAUAUACACUUUGAAUCCCAAAAGGUGAUAAUUAAGCAAUUUGUCAAAGCAAUUUCAUUGAGCUACAACAUAUAUUCUUGUCUUUCGUCUCAUGAGACACAGUGUAAAGCACGUUAAAAUGUUUUAAAACUAUAUUAAUAGGGUGAGUUGGUUUCAGUGAUUGAUCUGCUUUUUUUCCUUGUAUAUACUUCUCCUUUUCCUUCCUCAAAUCUUUCCCCCACAAUAUCAAGUUGUUCAAAAAGGCUGAUGAACAGCAGCCUGUAGUUGGUGACUUUCUUAAGGGCCACCAAUAUUGGUGUAUUUUAAUGAACUCACUUUCCUACCACAGAAUACAUAAGAUCCUUCACUACUUCUUUAAAAUUACCUUUACCUAAAGAGGAAUCUUUUUACUGGUGUGCAGUAUGUAUGCAAGAAUGUAAAUAUUUGAGUCCUUGGAUUGGAAGUUGCAACAAUGCAGUUGCUUUUGUCAGAUCACAGUACCUAAAAUUGCUACCCUUUGCCUUGUCCCAAUCAGUAUUCUAAAUUAUCUUUGGCUGACCUUUUCAUAAUGUAUGUCUAUAGUUGUAAAAACCAGAAACUUAAACUCAGUUUUCCUGUAUUCUUUGACAAAUUAAAGAUCUUAUGAAUGUUGCCGCUUUCUCCAGAAGAAUGAUAGGCUUCUACAGUAAGCAGCUCAGAAAUGGCUGGCUUUCUAAGAAUGAGAUAAGAAGAUUAAAUGGCAUUAGGAUACAUAAAACAUUCGUGAAACAGAUACUGUCUGAAAAAAUCAUGCUUUAUACUGUAUGCAUGUGUGCUUAAAAAGUGUCUUUUCCUUGAAUUCUUUAUCACCUUUUCCCAUGGUUUCAUGCUAGCCUGUGGGUUAAUUAUUUUGCACUGAUAGUUCAAAUUCAAUAUUUCAAUUAAAAUGUACUUAUAAAUGUGGUCUUCAAGGUGUAUAUUAGCACAAAUGAAGUGCUUGAGUGUAUGAUCUGAAAAGAUGAAUCCAUCUUUUGGAUUGCUUCUAGUAGAUAAGACACUUCCUCACCUUACAUAUCUCAUUGACUACAGUAGUCAUAGUCUUUGCAAGAAGAGCCUGGAUACUGGUCAACAGGUUAAAUGUUGCUGUUACUUGAGGAAUAUGAUGAGAUUGAUUCCAGGUUUUUUGCUGAAAUUUAGUGGUGUGCCUUUUCUGAUGGAAUUAUUCUUAGAGAAAAAAAAGUUAAGAUUUGUAGCAUGUUAAAGGAGCAUAGCUAAAACUAUAAUCACAUUUGAGUAUGAAUGUAUUUACUUCGUACUACUCUCUUAAAAAUUUUCGUUCUUGAAAAUGAUGAGGGAUGAAGAUCUGUCUGGAACAGCUUCUACAUGAAACAACAAAACCAACUUUUGUUUUUUCAUGAGGCUAAAGCAAAGGAUUUGCACUAUUUGUGAGAAAAUACAUUUGCAUCAUAGACUGAUUCCUUGUAUUUUGUCUAAAAGUGCUGAUCCUAAGUUAAUAUGGGGAUAUUGCCUGGACAGAUUCUCUCCUGAUGAAAAUAUUGUGCUUGCUCAAUAAUUAAAAGCAAGAAAGCACACACUGGCUUUUUUUUUCAUUCUUUAUUCUUUGAGUUUAUGCAUGGUUGGUUGCAGAUAUAUGACCUACAUCACAAUGGAAGAGUAGAGCUUGAUUCUUCACAUUUUCCUCUCUUCUCCUAUUACAUAAUUGACAUGCGCCGUUCCAUCCUUUUAAGGUAAAAGUCUUGCUGAAGCAUUUGUCCAAACAACUUAAUACUUCUACAAAUCAAAAUGGCAAAAUUUUCUGUAUAAAGCUAUACUGAUCUUAACACUCAAAAAUUAUCUUUGUAUAGCUGUAUGUUUAAAUGGACAAACUUAUGAUUAUGUGAUGCAACUUGCAAGGAAUCAAGUUUUCGUUACCUGUAAAUUCUCCCAGCUCAUUAAAUUACAAAGAAAAUCUAUCCAGCGAGUGCUGUUUUAGAGAAUUGAUGACAUCCAAAUUGUUUUAAACCACUGUAAAUUAUAUUAUUAUGAACUAAAUUCUGUAAGCAGAUCACUUUCUUUUCAAAACAACCUUCCCAUCUGUUGCUUAAAAUACAGAUUAAUCAGGCAGUAGUGUUGUAGAAACAGCAAAGCAGAUUGUGUCACAGCAUCUAGUGCUAAAUGUUAGACUUUCCCCAGGUAUAUACACUAAACAAAAAAACCCCUAAAGCCUGAGGGGAAAAGGACAGCUAUAGGAUUGAACUUGCUUUGAUUUGCUCCUGUAUAUUGGCAUUUCUGUACACUACAAAUUAACUUCUAUUCCUGUUGCAUGUACCUGGACUUCAGAGUGGUAGAAGUUCUGCAUGCAAUUACUUGAAAUCUUGAAUCUGCCUAUUGAAAUUAAUUCUUUAAUAUAGAAUGACAAAAGUAAGCGCUCACUCUUUUUAAUUUUGGGCUUUUUUUAAUGCCUAGUUUUUAAUGGCUAACUAAUCAGCUGGUUCUUAAAUGAAAUCCAUAGUUAAAUGCAAAGAGAGAUCUCUGGAAGUGAUUUGUUUAUUAAGGUUUCAUCUAAGAAGAUGCUUUUUUGGGGAAAAAAAAGAGUUCACAAAAAUUGGAAAGGAAUUAAGAACUGAGUGGUUUUUUCCUGGUUGCUUUCUCUCCUUUCAAACGCAUGAUGGCACUUCCUGUUCUUCCUUUGACUUUUAGGUCUCCUCCUACAAACAGGUAGAGACUGCAGUUUUUUCCUACACAAACUUUCUGAGAUGUAGGCUUCCCUAAUUUGAAUGCUGAAAGAACUGGUGAGCAUGCCUAAGAGAAGGGCACGGCAUAAAACAGUUCAGCAUGGCUCAAUACUCAUAUGGUUGAAUAUCUGGCCAAAAAUAAACAGGGAAAAGUCUUCAAAAAUUUUUUUGUGAGUGCAUUGCAAACACUUUUGUCUUUCUGAAAAUUGGGCACUAAAGGGGUAAUAAGUUCUUCUCUGCAAGUUAGUAGUAACAGCAUGAACUUUUUAGGCUGCACGGAAAUGACUUAGUUACCUACAAAUGCUUCUACUUUGUUUGACACCCCACUCCUAGUAAUCCAAAUUUACUUGAAUCCCUAAUGCAUGAAUGAGCUGGACAAAGAGUUGUGAAGGAGGAGUGUGGAUAAGCUUGAUCUUUGUUCUGUUUUCCUUUCAGUGUAAGCAGAAAAAGUAUUAUUUUGCUCACUUGCAAAACUCUUCCCUCCAAGUACUCCUUUUAGCAGCUCAACAGCCAGUGUUCAGGAGGAGAUGGCUCUUCUGUGUGUAUUUUGGAAUUCUCACAUAUAAACGUGAAGAAAAUGGCUGCAGAUCAGUAUUAACUUCAAAACCUGCAGUGUGUGCACAAAGUGAGGGUAUAAACCAAGCUGAUUACAUACGUGGAUGCAAACUGUUAAUGAAUUUCCGGUAAGCCCAAGAACUUUGAAAGUUUGUGUUGGAAUAAUAAUUAUCACACAGAAGCUUCCUUGAAUUGUUGCCCUAAGGAUGUUGAACUGCAGUCAGUUAUGCUGAGGAGAUACUAUCUUGCACCUUUCACCAGCUAUAAAAGUUACAUACAGCUUGUGUGCUUACAUCAAAAUAGCUAUUUUUUGUAGAAUUAAAACAACAAAUGGGGUCUUAAAGGUUUAAAAUCAGGAUUCUUAAGUGACAAAGUUUUUCUUUAUGAAUUACAAAUGUAUUCUGGCACACAACAACUUCCAAAACCCCAUAGGUAGAGGAUACUGUUGUGGCUGCAGUAUUGGCACAGUAAUAGGUACCAGCUUUUACAUGUUACUAGAUGCAUCUGUAUGUUACAUAUAGUCAUAUCCUGUCUUCACAUUUUAUAUAACUCAAGUUUAGACGAUACAAUUUUAAUGGAAAAUAUUUUAUUUAGUAUAUAUGUUUCAAACUAAAUUCAUUUUUUUGCAAGUAACUUAGUCUUGUUCCUAGUGAAAUUUCACAGUGGUUAAGCUCAAGCUACAUUGCACUUGUGAAUGAGUAAUUUUAUUCCAUUUUAACUGUGAAUUAAUGGCUUUUGUAUUGCUGCAGCUAGAAGAAUAUACCUUUCAUUGAGUUUACUGCUUUUCUUGAAUAACUGCAACAUAGGGGAUAUUUUCAAAAUGUAUAUUAAAUUAGAUCAUAGAAAUUAUAUUUUUAAAACAAAUUGUUAAAAUGUAAGUAACUGAAGAAUUCACUCAGUAGUUUUCUCUUUUUAAAACUCUUAAUUCAACAAUUGUUUCAAUGCAGAUAACUUUAUUUCACUAAAUAAAGGUCGUCUUAUUCAUAUAAUUGUACAUUUUCAACAAAGGUUUUUUUCUUUCAACUAAUAAAAGCCUUAAGGUGCCUUCUGUAUAUCAGCUUUUCAUUAUGGACCUUUUUAAAAAACAAAACACACACCCUUGUGACUUUUAAGUCUUGAAACUAAAUGGUUGAAUUGGACUCUAGUUCUGUAUUUUACUGUGCUGUAUAUUGUGAUGCAUACGAGGAGAGAAACGGAUGGGAUUUUUAUUUGUUCUUUCAGUCUGCAUCAAUCAAUGGUGCAAAUAAAAGGGAUUGUUUGCUGUUUUUAGAAGCACAUUAAACUCCUUUCAGGAGCUUAAAAUAAACUAUUGUAAUGAGGAUGAAAGGAUGUAGUGUGAAUAAAUUAUGAAUUUAUUAAGUGAGCUGGGAAGUUUUCUUUAAUGCAAUAAAAUUUGCACUGGUUUAGAGACUGUUUUGAACUGUUGAAAAAUGGCAUCCAUUUACUGUGCUUUGAUUAACAAGUGUUUCUCUGUAAUGUUUUUGUACAUUUGACAAAUGUUUCUUGAGUUUAAAAGGGCACUCUGCAUAUUCUGAAUUAUGUAUAGAUAUCCUAGACUAGGAAACAAUUUUUAAUGUAUUUCCCAAAAUAAAACAUGUAUGCAUCCUGUGUAAAAAUUUCAAA
RNA transcript from Harpia harpyja (harpy eagle), 10998 nucleotides. It is a transcript of the gene named DENN domain containing 4C, with no coding region annotated. NCBI's taxonomy places the organism in Eukaryota, Metazoa, Chordata, Aves, Accipitriformes, Accipitridae. The transcript is spliced from 33 exons. The record is from RefSeq and is a predicted model, not a curated record.